RNAcentral lists this ribosomal RNA (234 nucleotides) under uncultured bacterium. RNAcentral's name for it is "partial 16S ribosomal RNA". It matches the Rfam family "Bacterial small subunit ribosomal RNA", at positions 100 to 334 of the family's 1533-position model. The record is from RNAcentral.
CGGGACGGGUGAGUAAUGUCUGGGAAACGUGCCUGAUGGAGGGGGGUAACUACUGGAAACGGUAGCUAAUACCGCAUAACGUCGCAAGACCAAAGAGGGGGACCGUUCGGGCCUCUUGCCAUCGGAUGUGCCCAGAUGGGAUUAGCUAGUAGGUGGGGUAACGGCUCACCUAGGCGACGAUCCCUAGCUGGUCUGAGAGGAUGCCAGCCACACUGGAACUGAGACACGGUCCAG